RNAcentral lists this ribosomal RNA (849 nucleotides) under Sarcophyton trocheliophorum. Its description in RNAcentral is "partial 12S ribosomal RNA". The stretch from base 1 to 725 matches the Rfam family "Bacterial small subunit ribosomal RNA", at positions 420 to 1533 of the family's 1533-position model. Lineage: Eukaryota; Metazoa; Cnidaria; Anthozoa; Malacalcyonacea; Alcyoniidae. The record is from RNAcentral.
GGCAUUUUUGGCGCAGUAGAGAUCUUGUGCAUGGGUAAACGCUUGACACAGGGUUUCACACUGAGGUCUGUCUAACUAAGUGCCAGCAGACGCGGUUAAACUUAGAGGCCCAGUUUUUAUUUCGCAUUAGGCGUUAAAGUAUGUAGUGAAGCAUGAGAAUAAAGUAAGGCGAACCUCUUGGUAGCGGUAAAAUGUUUGAAGCAAGAGUGGAAGUCCGAAGGUGAAGACUCCUUACUCCGUUCAUGUUAUAUCUUCAUGAAAUACGAAAGCUUGGAUAGCAAACAGGAUUAGAUACCCUGGUAGUCCUCGCCCUAAACUUAUACAAUAGCUUUAUUAGCAAAUAACCUUAUUGUAUGCCUGAAUACUAUGAUCGCAAGAUUGAAACUCAAAAGGCUUGGCUGUUCACUGUUUGAAUCAGAGGAGCGUGUAAUUUAAUACGAUGAUCCGCGUGUCACCUUACCUUUCCUUGAAAGCGAACUAUCUUUUUUAGGUAGUAGCCGCUCAGGCAUUGCAUGGCCGUCGUCAGGAUAACAAUAAAUGUUAUCCUUAACCCUAUUAUGGAUUAAGUCAGGUGUCAUGGUCUUUAUGGAAAGGGAUAUUAUGCGCUACAUUCUCCUAUACUAUAUAUAUAGUAAAAGGUGAGCCUGAGAUUCUCUGAAGCGUGAAUCUCAAACUUUAUGCGCUAAUGCGAAAGAAAAACGGGCGCUCCUAAGUUAACCCGCUCUCGGCUGGCGCUAGUAGGCCGACCCUCCCGUGCGAAACCAUGUGUCAAGCGUUAACCCAUCGACCGAGAUGUCUCUACGCUGCAAGAAGACUGCACUUGUUACUGUGUGAGGAGAGAAGACAACA